AAUGCGGAGGAAAAGAAAAUAACAUAUGAUUCCCUCAGUAACGGCGAGUGAACAGGGAAAAGCUCACAGUUGGAACCUAGCUGCCUUAGGUAGUUCGGAUUGUAAACUGAAAAAGUGUUAUCCAGGCUAGCCGAGUAAAUAAGUUUCUUGGAAUAGAACAUCAUGGAGGGUGAGAAUCCCGUCUUUGGCUUGAGCAUAGUCUUUUGUGUUGCACUUUAACGAGUCAGGUUGUUUGGGAAUGCAGCCUAAAGUGGGAGGUAAAUCCCUCCUAAAGCUAAAUAUUGGCGAGAGACCGAUAGCAAACAAGUACCGUGAGGGAAAGAUGAAAAGAACUUUGAAAAGAGAGUUAAACAGUAUGUGAAAUUGCUAAAAGGGAAGCGUUUGAAGACAGACUAGCUUGGUUAUAAUCAGCCUGGAUUUUUCUUGGUGUACUUGUAGCCUAUGCUUGCCAACAGCAGUUUGGUCUGGCUGAAAAAACUAGUAGUAAGGUGGCUCUCUUCGGGGAGUGUUAUAGACUAUUAGAAAAUCAGUUGGACUGGACUGAGGAAUGCAAUGCAGCUUGCCUUGGGGUGAACCAGAUUGGAUAGGAACCAUUGUUCCUUGAAGGUUUGGGUAGCUCUUCGAACUGUAUUUAGGUUGUUGGCUUAAUCGGUCGUUUAAACGGCCCGUCUGA
Molecule: ribosomal RNA, 673 nt
Filed under: Circinella muscae
Lineage: Eukaryota; Fungi; Mucoromycota; Mucoromycetes; Mucorales; Lichtheimiaceae
Description: eukaryotic LSU rRNA
Rfam family: Eukaryotic large subunit ribosomal RNA
Source: RNAcentral